GACGAACGCUGGCGGCGUGCUUAACACAUGCAAGUCGUACGGUAAGGCCCUUUCGGGGGUACCCGAGUGGCGCACGGGUGCGUAACACGUGAGUAACCUGCCCACAACUUUGGGAUAACGCUAGGAAACUGGUGCUAAUACUGGAUAUGUGCUCCUGCUGCAUGGUGGGGGUUGGAAAGCUCCGGCGGUUGUGGAUGGACUCGCGGCCUAUCAGCUUGUUGGUGGGGUAGUGGCCUACCAAGGCGGCGACGGGUAGCCGGCCUGAGAGGGUGACCGGCCACAUUGGGACUGAGAUAAGGCCCAGACUCCUACGGGAGGCAGCAGUGGGGAAUAUUGCACAAGGGGCGCAAGCCUGAUGCAGCAACGCCGCGUGCGGGAUGACGGCCUUCGGGUUGGAAACCGCGUUCAGCAGGGACGAAGCUUUUUGUGACGGUACCUGCAGAAGAAGCACCGGCUAACUACGUG
Molecule: ribosomal RNA, 465 nt
Filed under: uncultured bacterium
Lineage: Bacteria
Description: partial 16S ribosomal RNA
Rfam family: Bacterial small subunit ribosomal RNA
Source: RNAcentral